GGGGCUGACAAGCUUCGACAGAAGUUCUUUGAAAAAUGAUUGCAAGUCCUGCUUCGUUGCUUAUGCAGGUAAAUCUCGGGUGACACUAUACAAAUGCCAACUCAUUUGUAGCAAAAGUAAAGAACGCUUUUAGCGCUCUUUCCUUUGCGCCAGCCUUAGCUUAAUUUAAGCUUGGGCGGUCAAACCACUGACACCGAUAGUUGGGGAGACCUAUCAUCUUCGGUUAGAUUAUCUACUGCCUCGUGACUUUAGACGAUCGAAAGUUAUUCACGAUCGCCGCUUUGAUAUUUUGUAAAUUUAAAGUCAAGGUGGUCAGACAAAUUAAAUUUACUAAACUUGUAGAUAUUAUUUUUCUAAACUUUUGGACGCGGGUGCAAUUCCCGCCAGCUCCAUUC
Molecule: transfer-messenger RNA, 395 nt
Filed under: bacterium
Lineage: Bacteria
Also listed under: 1 other name
Rfam family: transfer-messenger RNA
About the family: Bacterial tmRNA, also known as 10Sa RNA or SsrA, is named for its dual tRNA and mRNA-like properties.
Source: RNAcentral